RNAcentral lists this transfer RNA (107 nucleotides) under Thermoplasmata archaeon. RNAcentral describes it as "tRNA-His". The record is from RNAcentral. Lineage: Archaea; Methanobacteriati; Thermoplasmatota; Thermoplasmata. RNAcentral also lists the same sequence under 1 other name.
GCCGGGAUAGGGUAGUCUGGCCUAUCCUGGGGGACUGUGGAUCCCUCGACCCGGGUUCAAAGGACAGCGGGGACCACCCCCGCCGUCGGAGACUCUCGGUCCCGGCC